Non-coding RNA from Brachypodium distachyon (stiff brome), 192 nucleotides. NCBI's taxonomy places the organism in Eukaryota, Viridiplantae, Streptophyta, Magnoliopsida, Poales, Poaceae. The record is from Rfam.
GCAUGUAUAAGAGAGCUCUCUUCAGUCCACUCUCAGAUGACUGUAGGGUUUUAUUAGCUGCCGAUUCAUCCAUUCACCUACCAAGAAUCAUGAGGGCGUAUAUGUCUUGGUAGCCGACUGGAUGGCACGGGAGCUACAAAAAGCUUUUCGUUGUUUGUGGUUGGACUGAAGGGUGCUCCCUUGCUUACAAUA